UACGAAGGGGACUAGCGUUGUUCGGAAUCACUGGGCGUAAAGCGCACGUAGGCGGUUCGUCGCGUCGGCUGUGAAAUCCCGGAGCUCAACUCCGGGUCUGCAGUCGAUACGGGCGGACUCGAGUUCGGCAGGGGAGACUGGAAUUCCUGGUGUAGCGGUGAAAUGCGCAGAUAUCAGGAGGAACACCGAUGGCGAAGGCAGGUCUCUGGGCCACUACUGACGCUGAGAAGCGAAAGCAUGGGGAGCAAACAGG
Molecule: ribosomal RNA, 253 nt
Filed under: uncultured bacterium
Lineage: Bacteria
Description: partial 16S ribosomal RNA
Rfam family: Bacterial small subunit ribosomal RNA
Source: RNAcentral